CUGAGCGGCGAGCUUUAUCCCCUGCGCUCUGGCCCAAACGCAGGCCACGACAAUUGUACGAUAGUUGUGACUAAAAACCCAU
Molecule: long non-coding RNA, 82 nt
Organism: Amblyraja radiata (thorny skate)
Lineage: Eukaryota; Metazoa; Chordata; Chondrichthyes; Rajiformes; Rajidae
Exons: 3
Source: RefSeq, a predicted model, not a curated record